GACGAACGCUGGCGGCGUGCUUAACACAUGCAAGUCGAACGGAAAGGCCCUGCUUUUGUGGGGUGCUCGAGUGGCGAACGGGUGAGUAACACGUGAGUAACCUGCCCUUGACUUUGUGAUAACUUCAGGAAACUGUGGCUAAUACCGGAUAGGAGCUCCUGCUGCAUGGUUGGGGUUGUAAAGUUUCGGCGGUUGGUGAUGGUCUCGCGGCUUAUCAGCUUGUUGGUGGGGUAGUGGCUUACCAAGGCUUUGACGGGUAGCCGGCCUGAGAGGGUGACCGGCAACAUUGGGACUGAGAGACGGCACAGAGUGCUACGGGAGGCAGCAGUGGGGAAUAUUGCACAAUGGGCGGAAGCCUGAUGCAGCAACGCCGCGUGCGGGAUGACGGCCUUCGGGUUGUAAACCGCUUUAGCCUGUGACGAAGCGUGAGUGACGGUAAUGGGUAAAGAAGCACCGGCUAACUACGUG
This 468-nucleotide ribosomal RNA is filed under the name uncultured bacterium. RNAcentral describes it as "partial 16S ribosomal RNA". It matches the Rfam family "Bacterial small subunit ribosomal RNA", at positions 28 to 507 of the family's 1533-position model. The record is from RNAcentral.